AGUCGAACGGUACAUGAGAGCUUGCUCUCGGUGACGAGUGGCGCACGGGUGCGUAACACGUAUGCAACCUACCUUCAACUGGGGAAUAGCCCGAAGAAAUUCGGAUUAAUACCCCAUAAUAAUAGAAAUUCGCAUGUUUUUCUAUUUAAAACUCCGGUGGUUGAAGAUGGGCAUGCAUCCUAUUAGUUAGUUGGUGAGGUAACGGCUCACCAAGACUCCGAUAGGUAGGGGUUCUGAGAGGAAGAUCCCCCACACUGGUACUGAGACACGGACCAGACUCCUACGGGAGGCAGCAGUGAGGAAUAUUGGACAAUGGACGAAAGUCUGAUCCAGCCAUGCCGCGUGUAGGAAGACUGCCCUCUGGGUUGUAAACUACUUUUAUAAGGGAAUAAAACCCCCGUACGUGUACGGGGCUGAAUGUACCUUAAGAAUAAGCACCGGCUAACUCCGUGCCAGCAGCCGCGGUAAUACGGAGGGUGCAAGCGUUAUCCGGAUUUAUUGGGUUUAAAGGGUCCGUAGGUGGAAUUGUAAGUCAGUGGUGAAAUCUUUCGGCUUAACCGGAAAACUGCCAUUGAUACUGCAGUUCUUGAGUA
This 593-nucleotide ribosomal RNA is filed under the name uncultured organism. RNAcentral describes it as "bacterial SSU rRNA". It matches the Rfam family "Bacterial small subunit ribosomal RNA", at positions 60 to 648 of the family's 1533-position model. The record is from RNAcentral.